This 68-nucleotide transfer RNA is filed under the name Marmota monax (woodchuck). Its description in RNAcentral is "tRNA.Ala". The record is from RNAcentral. Lineage: Eukaryota; Metazoa; Chordata; Mammalia; Rodentia; Sciuridae.
GGAUUGUGGCUCGGUGGUAGAGUGCUCGCCUGGCACAUGUGAGGCCCUCGGUUUGAUCCUCAGCACCA